This 1276-nucleotide long non-coding RNA is filed under the name Pogona vitticeps (central bearded dragon). RNAcentral describes it as "lncRNA (ENSPVIG00000011028.1)". Lineage: Eukaryota; Metazoa; Chordata; Lepidosauria; Squamata; Agamidae. The record is from RNAcentral.
GUUUCAGUCUCAACAUUAGCACAGUGGAGGGUUUGUACUAUGUUGUAUGUUGUUGUUGUGAUUCUACUCACCCAAGACAUUUUGUGGUCUGAGGAGAACACACGAUGGUUUCUGUCCCCUAUAUUCCUUAUAUAGCAGUUGACCAGAUUGAAUAGCCCCCUCCAUCCACCAAUGUCCCUGAAGGCACAGACGUAUUUCCUAGGGUUUCCCAAGGAUGAUACUCGGAGGGACGAAAGGCAUAGUUGGACAAUAGGUUUCUACACCACUAGGCUGAGAAAUCCAAUAUACAUCUAGUUUUCCCCUGCUGUUCUUUCCAGGAAAAAUUGUGAUAGGUGUGGACCGGGGUUGCAGUGACGUAUGUCGUGUCCUGAAGAAGAAGAAGGAAGACUUUGAGGAAAAGAUGGUGUGCUGUGCCCGAAACCUUUGCAACUACCACAACUUCUGGACUAAUCAAUGAAUCAAUGAAUCAAAGUCUUUAUUGCGGAGGGUUUGAAAGAUCUCUACAAUUCUGUUAAUGACCAGUUCUGUUGCUGAAUCAUUUCUCUCAGAAAAAAACAAAAUGACCACCACAUAAAUCUUGACGGAUGAUUCACAAAUGCACUAAUAUGGAUGUUGCUUUGAUGUGCUGUCUGUCUGUCUGUCUGGCCAGCCUCCUAGAGAGCUCAGUGGUUUAGAUAUCUAGCCUCAGGGCCCAAGGUUAGGAGUUUGUUUCCAUUAAAAGCUCUUUUUUCCUAAAUUCCAUUUUGUGGCCCAAAGCUUUGCUUACUUGAGGAAGAAUAAUAAGAACAGGCCAACCUAACCUCCUUUGGGAGAAGCCAUCAACUCUUGUGUCCUCAUCAAACAUUUCUAUGGGGUGGGAGCUAUCCAAUGUUCAGAAUGUAGAAAUGUGGCAGAAGAUAACACGUGUACGGUAAAGCCUGAACUGACCUGUGACAAUGGGCUUUUCAACCUCUGCUACACACGGGUGAUAAAGAAAGGUGAGUGCAGUCGUUACUCUUGGAGUACCAAGUACUCAGCUUCUGUUGCUGUCCGUGGUAGAAACAGGAGGCCUUAUACCUGUGCUUGCCAGAUUUUGCUGCAGGAUCUUUCACAGCUUCAUGAGAAACCGAAAUUCACUGUAUAAGAACGUCAAAAUAAGCUUCACCUGCUGACUUCUUCUGGACUGUCAGGCCCUUUUCAAAUCUACGAGAGUCGUCCCAGGAAAAGACCUGCUUCAAGCAAAAUGAAGAUAAUUUUUCCCCCUCACUAUCGAACAUCAACAACAUUUUCACGCCAU